CCAGACUCCUACGGGAGGCAGCAGUGAGGAAUAUUGGUCAAUGGGCGGGAGCCUGAACCAGCCAAGCCGCGUGAAGGAAGAAGGCGCCAAGCGUCGUAAACUUCUUUUGUCGGGGAACAAAGGGCGCCACGUGUGGCGUUGUGAGUGUACCCGAAGAAAAAGCAUCGGCUAACUCCGUGCCAGCAGCCGCGGUAAUACGGAGGAUGCGAGCGUUAUCCGGAUUUAUUGGGUUUAAAGGGUGCGUAGGCGGCCCGGAAACACGGCGGAAAAAGCCGGGGGCUCACCCCCGGCGAGCCGUUGAAACUGUCGGACUAGAGACGGCGAGAAGUACGCGGAAUGCGCGGUGUAGCGGUGAAAUGCAUAGAUAUCGCGCAGAACCCCGAUUGCGAAGGCAGCGUGCCGUGCCGCCACUGACGCUGAGGCACGAAAGCGCGGGGAUCGAACAGGAUUAGAUACCCGCGUAG
This 464-nucleotide ribosomal RNA is filed under the name uncultured bacterium. RNAcentral's name for it is "partial 16S ribosomal RNA". It matches the Rfam family "Bacterial small subunit ribosomal RNA", at positions 331 to 793 of the family's 1533-position model. The record is from RNAcentral.